This 5812-nucleotide unclassified non-coding RNA is filed under the name Anneissia japonica. Its description in RNAcentral is "formin-binding protein 4-like, transcript variant X1". The record is from RNAcentral. Lineage: Eukaryota; Metazoa; Echinodermata; Crinoidea; Comatulida; Comatulidae.
UAUCCAAUUAUUACCUUUCUUUUGAAUAACAGGAUAGUAGUCGGUGGAAAGAAAAUGGAUGUCGUCGUAUGUGCGUGAUACAGAGAGACAGGACAGAAGCUUAUACAAUAGUUUUUAACAUUCCAGAUGUUUAUCUUCAUAAAGAUGGUGGAAGCAGUUAAGCAAUAACUAUAACACCAAAACAAAAAAAUAAUAGAUUUAAAUUUGGAAGGGAGGCUUAAAGAAAGAUCGACCUGAGCGAGAUGGGCCGGAAAAGGCAGCUUCAGUUGGGAUCUGCUCCCAAGAGAAGAACUGUGCUACAGUUAGAUGACAAUAGAGGUACUCGAUUAAGCAGCCCUGUUCCGAAUAAGCAAGGUAAUUCAUUGGGCUUAUUGAGCCACUAUGGAGAAGAUAGUGAAGAAGAGGAAGAAGGAUUAGCAGCAGCAAAACCUAAAACAGAAAUUGAUCUGAAAGUGGCUGACUUCCUUGCUGAGAUAGAGGCAUUGGACACUCCAAAUGGUAGCGGAUCAAACACACCUAAAGAAGAAGUGCAUGAAGAUGAAGCACCUGCUGUAACCGCGACAACAUCUUGGGAGGCCCCUGUAGCUCAGCCAUCUGCUGAAGAAAUAGGAGAGUGGCAGGAGCUUCUGGAUCCAAAUACAAACUGCAUGUAUUUUUGGAACACGGUAACUAACGAAGUAACAUGGGAGGUUCCACAGGCCCUUCAGGACAAAGUUGCCCCAGCUACUGCCAAAGCAACUGAUAAUGUGAACCAGUAUAAUGAAAAGGAGAUUCACCCCCCAGAGGUAGCAGCGGCUGUCACAGAAGUACCAGAAGUUGACACUGAAGAAGUUGAGGAAAUGCCCACUGCCUCAGCUUUUCCAUUAUUUGGGCCCAAGGCACCGAAAACAGAUAUUGAGGCAGAUUGCAGCAGUUCAUCGAGUACUUUCGACGAGGAAGUUAAUAAAAACAAAACUGAAUUUGUGGAUAAUUCUGAACCGUAUGGAAUGUUCGUGAAAGGCGAGACGUUGAUACAAGAGGAGAACCAGUACGAUAUAUUUGCAGACAAGUCACCUGUCAAGGAGAUGAAAAAGGAUGAUGAAGUUGAAACUGAUGAAGAGGAGGAUGAAGAGGAGGCCAUGGAGAGUGAUGAGAAGCAGGAGGAUUCAGUUGUUGAUGGGCAACCACUUGAAGAGUUUGAGAGGGAGGAUGAUGAAAGGGAUCCAGCAGUAGAAUUUGAUGAAGAUGACAUCGAUGCCCAGUUGGAACUGGCACUAGAACAGAAAAAGGCUGAAUUAAGAGACCUUGAUGGUAUUAAGGAAGAUCCGGUUUUAAGCGAUGCAGCAACAAGUCAGAAAAGAAAAUCUGAACAAACAACUGAAAGUAUAUAUAGUGAAAAUGGAGAGAUCAACCUGCUGCCAUUCAAGAAAAAACGAAUGGAAAUGUUGAGAGGACAAAAGCAGGCGUUGAUGGAAGAUAAAUCCACACAGUGUGAUGAUCAACUGGAACAGCAGUCCAUAGAGUAUAUGAAGGAAAAGACAAAGCAGAAAAAGAAAGAAGAAGCAGAUAUCAAAUGUGAGGUAGCAGCAAUUACAUCUGAUUUACGGAGCAAGCUUGGAUUUUUAGGGAUGUCAAGAAAAGACCUGAACAAAUUCCAUAUAUUGUUGAUUGAAAUGGAGACACGUGUGCAAGACUGGCGAGAUGGCAUUUUAGAUGGCAAGCAUUUAAUGAAAAAACUAGAAACUGCAAACUGGGAAUUAGAACUCUAUGAACGUGAAGCUGCACCACCUGAUUGGACAUGUGCGUGGGACAGAACGCACAAAAUGUAUUAUUACGUAAGCAACAGCACUGGUGAUUCCCAGUGGGAGUACCCACUUGAAGCGUUGGACCAACACAAGGUGAGCCUCGGCUCCACCGCCAAUGAUGCACAGUUCAUGAGCAAAGAUACAUUCAACCAGGCCUCAAGUGUCGGUGGCUACAACAUUGAUGACAAGCAGGGUGGUGGUCAAGUUACAGACACCGAAAAAGUUCCUGUUGAGAAAGCGAGUACAGAACAAAUUCCUUGUGAACCUCAGCCAAUCAUUGACAGAAAAAUUGACAUUCCCCCAGUCCCUGGGGAAAGCAUGUUUGUCCCUCCCUUACCAGAUGAACCACCACCACCUCCCCCAGAAGCUGAUUUACCACCACCUCCCCCUCCCAGUUCACCGCCACCACCUUUACCUCCUAGGCCUCCUCCAGAUUAUGACUCUGAUACCGAGCCGUUACCGCCAGGGGUAAGUCCACCACCAUCGCCACCGCGUGAAGACCCUGCUCCUCCGAUGCCGUCAGAACCUACUAUCCAGGAAGCUGACUCUACAUCGAUUGUAUCGAAACCUUUGGUGAGGUAUGUGAACCCGGUGACUGUUGUAAAUCCAGCGGUGAUUAUGGCCCCUAGCUACGCGUCUGUACCGGUGCAACCAGCAGUGUAUGCCCAACCAACCGUCGCCCAGCAGCCACCAGUGCCCAAACCGAAAGAACCUGUUCCUACAAAGACAAAAACAAAGAAGCCAAAAAAGGUUAAGAAAGCUCUUGCAAACAAAAAGCUUUCAAUGAAUUUAGUAGAGAAAUGGAAACAAAUUAAAGAAGAACAAGAGAAAGAGGAAGAAGUGGUUGAAUCAGAUGAAGAAGACAUGGAGACAAUGACACAAAGGAGGAUAGAGGAAUGGAAGGAAAGCCAAUUAAUGACAGGAAAAGCUUCGUACAAUGCAAAUUUCGAGAUGAUAAAAGGAGACUGGAGAGAGAGACUAAAGAGGAAGAAUAAUAAAUCAUAACACUUGUUUUGUCACUCGCGAGAAAUAUCAUCCGUUCAAAUUCAAACAGCUCCCCAUGCCUAGAUACUAUGAAAUGCCAUCAGUAGUGUCAUGCUCUAGAUUUGCCAUAACGUAUAUAUUGAACAUACUUGAGUGAAACUUGGAUCCACCUUACCCACAAAAUCUAAUCUACCCCUUAGGCCAGUGUAUGAUUUGACAGAAACUUCUAAUGUAUAAUCUAUGUUGGUAGAAUUUGUUCCUUUAUGAGAUUAUUUUGAAUAGAUCAUGGUUAAUAAUGCGAUGAGAAUCAAAUUGAACGUGAUCCUGAUUUCCAUAGUGCCACCAGGGUUUGUUGAGUUAAGCAUUUUUAUGUCAAACCUAUUUAUACAGUAAUUGCCUUUAGUUUCAAUUUUUUGUUCCAAGCUCAUAGUGCUUGUUAUUUGAAAAUGGUAGGUGACCUAAAAAACCACACUAUAUUUGUUUGGGAAAGUAUAAAUAAUAUUAUUUAUGAUGCACUCAUCACGGGUGAAAUGAAGCUCAAAGCCAAUUUAUAAACCAAAUUACAGAAAACAAAGCCACAGUAUUUGGGUGUGUUAACAAGGUUGAAGGUGUGUGAUAUUAAAAGCCAUUGUUCUCUAUGUUUCACACCCCAGCAAAGGAGCUUAGGUGUGUGAUGGUGUAGGAGUGCUCAGAUCCCAAGCACUGUAUGUAAUAAUCAUGAGGCACCCAAGGAUGGAUCCAGAGAUAUCUGACCGGGGGAGGGUGUGCACCCUAAUCAAGAGACAACACCAUCCUUGGUGUUUGUUUUCUAGAUGCCUGUAAAUAACCUCAGAGGCGUUUUUUGUUUUUACUUUCCAAAAAGGGCCCUUCCUUCCCACCCCAUCACCCCCUUCACCAAUCUUCCCCUCAAAACUUCGACAAAGUCACAAGAAAAUCAAUCUAUCUAUAUUUUUUUCAUUAAUAUUAUCUUAGCUAUUAUCUGAAGAAAUAAUUAUGUAAUAAUGAAUUUGACAAUUUUUUAUAUCGUUUUUGUGCAUUAUACUUAAACAGUGAUGUCUGCACAAGUAAAUUUUUGUCCAGCGUGUGCACCCAACCUAAUUUUAUAUUUCUACAAUAUUGCUUUUCAGUUGUUCUAAUAUGUUACCGAAUCCUCAGUAUUGUUGAAGGAAGGCUAUUAGCCUAUUAAGUUAAAUACCUUUCCAUAGCUUAGUAAUAAUAAAUAUCAUUGGCUAGGUUUUGUGGAAGCUUGUUGCUUAAUAUAGCUGUAUGUCUCGGUAAGAUUCUUAUCAAAAUAAGUCGGAGUGCGAAUGAGGUUUUAGGUACAGUAACUAUAUUUUUGCCAUAAGGUUACAAUCAGUGCUUUGUUCUGUAGUAGUUACUGAAUGAACAUAACCAACAUAUUGCUUGGGAAAGUUAUGGGGAGGGUCCUAUAAUCAGAAUGGUAGAAGAGAGAGGUCUACAAACUGAUAAAUAAUAGUGUGGGUGGGGGGGGGGUGUUUGUGUGUGUAUUGGGUUGUUGGAGUCCUCUAUACCAGUGAAUAUUAGGAGGGAUACCUAGAAACAUGUGAAUAAUAGGCAGGGGGUUUUUGGAAGGGGAAGGGGCAGGUUGCAGAGGGUGUGGAUGCAAUUUAAAAUGGUUCACUUUUUAAAACCUAUUUAUUUUACUAAAAUCGUCCCUUUACUGUAAAGGUGUAUGCAUUUCAUUUGACAGCUCUUCUAAUUGUUGAUUUUUAAUACUGUAACUGUGGAAUAUAGUUAGAGUAUGUUUUAUACUUUCUUAUCUGACGUUAAUCGGUGAACCUUCCAGUUUGUGGUACGAAAUUUGUUGGAAAUUGAUAUAAGCUUUGUUAAUUGCAGGUUAUAAUUAGGCCUACAAUAAACACAUUACUUUAUCAGGUCUGUAACAACACCCAAAUGAAUAGAAAUUUAAAUAGAGUUUUCAUGAAAAAUUAGAAAUCAAAUGGGUCCUCAAAAAGCUACUUUUCUUAUGAAGUAGCAAAAAAUAGAAUCGAUUCAUAUAAACAGGUAUAUACUAGUGGAGCAUAAUGGGAAAGAUACCUGCUAUGUAUUUUAAUUCAGUAAAUACAGUAAUAGGGGAUUUCUGAAAACAGAAGAAUAAUGGGAGACCCAAAGCACAGGAAAGUAGGACACUUUAGGGUUACUAAUAUGGAAUAAAUGUUUAAUUUUAAGCUGCCUGGCAUAAUAGAAAAAAGUUGUAAGCAUAUACUAUUGCAGUAUUAAACUGUUCAAAAAGGAGGUUUGGCCGAAACCUUCAAAUCCCACUGGCUGGGGCCUGGCUUACACACAUAAGAAAUUCCCUAAAAUUUGACCUUGGCUUCCAUUUUUCACUGCGUGGGAAUCAUAAUUUUGUAUAAUUAUGUUGGCAUCCAACCUUCUACUAGAUUUGUUUACAUACAGUAGGCCUAUUCAUGUUUAUGUUUAUUUUUGUUAUGAUACAAGUAACGACAUAGCCCUAAUUAACAAUGUACUUGUAUUGAUUGACAUUGCAAAUUAACGAUUUGUAGACAGGAUAGCAACAGUGCGGAAAACAUUUUACAGUACAGUACUUCCAAAAUAUGUGCGCUCUGAAAGAAAAUGGGGUUAGUUGAGGGGCGCUAGUUGGCAAAGUAAUGUGAUACAGGGGCUGAUCCAGUCAACAGUCUAACAAUAGGUACAGUAAGUGAGUAGCACAUAACACUGAUUUGCAUUGAGAAUUGGAAAAAAAAAAAAAAAAAAGUAAAUAAAUGGAUCCGCCCUGUGAUAUGUUGUUAUUUUCAACUACUUGAUAUGUACGGUAUUGUUUUUUUUGGGUUUUUUUUUUCUGCCUUGCAAAUUUUUAUGAGAAAGACUUUUGAAAUGCAAAAGCUUUCCCGUGGAUACAUAGGCUACAUAUGCAACACAUUGUGGAUGUGACUGUUAAAUCUAGUGUAUAGAAACAUCCUUUACAAGUAAAGAGCUAACAUUUAUUUUACAUUAUUGUAUCAAGCUGUUCAGGUUUAGUCUAAAGAUUUCUAUGAAAUAAACAUUUCAUAUUGAAUACAAAA